UCUACAAGAAAUAAAUUAUCACUAGCGUUUUUUAAAGUCAUAAAUCACACGCCGUUAUCAACCCGACAGGGAGAGAAUGACGCAUACCUGUGAUUCUACCUGUGUCAACAUUCUUACGAAUAGUACCUGUUAAUUAAGUCACCAGAUAUCUUACCUGACAGAGAAGAUUUUUUGUGCGAGUUAAACAUCGGGGAGACCAUCCAGGGUUAGAUUACCACCGGAUUGCAGGUGGAUACUUUGGGACGAUGUAUUCGUGGACUAUUUUCUUGUUUACAACAUUGAUUAUUAUCAACAUGUUUCAAGGACCCAUACCUGUGUCUGCCUCCGGUAUGGAUGGCUGUGACGGCGCCACCGGAACACAUGGGUCAGCCGGAAUCCUGGUCCUGUCCCUACUCGUCACUUUAGCACUGUACCUGAACAGACCUGGAGUGUUUGGAUGAAAUCUCAAGACGAUUCCCAGAAAUAUUACUUGUGCUUAUUUUUGAAGAAACUGACUUGAAAAAACCCCCAGAACUGUGAAUAAGCAUUAUGUUCUCAACAAUAAGGAAUUGUGUUUAUACCAUCAUACUACAUUACUAAGUUAUUUUCUUUGAAAGAUGGUUUCCAUGACAACACGAUCAUUUUGUUUCUGGAUCAAAUAUUUCUGGAUAUUUGAGGAGAAAUGUAUGUCUGUUUGAAAGUUGUAAAUAAUGGUGAUGCAUAUGUGUAAAAUCAUUUUCAUGUUAUCUAACUUUCUGUGUAACUGCAUGUUAAAUAAUCCCCCCAGAUAAAUCCCCCUUCCACCCGAAAAAAUAUAAGUAAGACAUAAUCACGAUAUGCAGUUAUUUCAUAUCUUAUCAGUCGACAGUCAAAACUAUUUCCUCGAGGUGCUGGAAUCAAGACGGAAAUAGUUCAUCAGGCCAGGUCCCAACACCGAAGGGGAAUAGUUCUGACUAUAGAUUGAAAGGACAUGGUUAGCUAAUCAAUGUACAACACAUGUUAUUAUUUUAUAUUAAUCACAUCAUUAGUGGGUUUCAAAACCUGAUUCGACGAUUAAACUUUUUUUUUUUUAAAUCAACAACAAUUAAGCAGUACUUGUUUGCAAUAUGAACAUGUACAAUGUAUAUGUCAAUUCCAAUUCACACAGAAAAUAGAUGCCAUUUAAUUUUGAGUUAAGUCUAGAUUGCCAAAUAAUAUAAAAUUCGUGUUU
Mizuhopecten yessoensis (Yesso scallop) is the source of this 1189-nucleotide long non-coding RNA. RefSeq lists it as uncharacterized. Lineage: Eukaryota; Metazoa; Mollusca; Bivalvia; Pectinida; Pectinidae. The record is from RefSeq and is a predicted model, not a curated record. The transcript is spliced from 3 exons.